Molecule: unclassified non-coding RNA, 330 nt
Filed under: soil metagenome
Description: partial contains 5.8S ribosomal RNA, internal transcribed spacer 2, and large subunit ribosomal RNA
Rfam family: 5.8S ribosomal RNA (bases 1-120)
Source: RNAcentral
GAUGAAGAACGUAGCGAAAUGCGAUAAGUAAUGUGAAUUGCAGAAUUCAGUGAAUCAUCGAAUCUUUGAACGCACAUUGCGCCCCUUGGUAUUCCGAGGGGCAUGCCUGUUCGAGCGUCAUUAUAACCCCUCAAGCUCAGCUUGGUGUUGGGGCCUGCUGCACUGGCAGCCCUUAAAAUCAGUGGCGGCGCCAUCUGGCUCUAAGCGUAGUAAUUCUUCUCGCUCUGGAGGUCCGGUCGUGUGCUCGCCAGCAACCCCCAAUUUUUUUCAGGUUGACCUCGGAUCAGGUAGGGAUACCCGCUGAACUUAAGCAUAUCAAUAAGCGGAGGA